Molecule: ribosomal RNA, 301 nt
Filed under: uncultured bacterium
Lineage: Bacteria
Description: partial 16S ribosomal RNA
Rfam family: Bacterial small subunit ribosomal RNA
Source: RNAcentral
CAGCAGCCACGGUAAAACGAAGGGUGCAAGCGUUAAUCGGAAUUACUGGGCGUAAAGCGUGCGUAGGCGGUUUGUUAAGUCUGCUGUGAAAUCCCCGGGCUCAACCUGGGAAUGGCAGUGGAUACUGGCAAGCUAGAGUGUGUCAGAGGAUGGUGGGAUUCCCGGUGUAGCGGUGAAAUGCGUAGAGAUCGGGAGGAACAUCAGUGGCGAAGGCGGCCAUCUGGGACAACACUGACGCUGAGGCACGAAAGCGUGGGGAGCAAACAGGAUUAGAUACCCCUGUAGUCCCUGUCUCUUAUAC